CGGCCACUUGGUCCUCAUAUUGAAAUACUAAGUCCCUGUUUAGUAAUAUUAGCAGUUUUAGUAUCUAUUAGCUGUUCUAUUAACUGUCGACUGUUUUAUUGGCUGUUAGCUACUUAUAUAGUAAUUUAAAAUGGAAGAGUUUGAUAAAAUUAUUGGAUUAGCGGGUAAAUAUAAAAGUAGUGGUAUUAUAUUUGUAAUCCUAAUCAAAACACUCCCUCGACAUUCAAAAGUUAGGGGCGCUAAUAUUUCAUUAACCACUCUCUCAACCUCUAAACACUAGUA
This 282-nucleotide unclassified non-coding RNA is filed under the name Hevea brasiliensis (rubber tree). Lineage: Eukaryota; Viridiplantae; Streptophyta; Magnoliopsida; Malpighiales; Euphorbiaceae. The record is from RNAcentral.